Molecule: ribosomal RNA, 460 nt
Filed under: uncultured bacterium
Lineage: Bacteria
Description: partial 16S ribosomal RNA
Rfam family: Bacterial small subunit ribosomal RNA
Source: RNAcentral
CCUACGGGAGGCAGCAGUGAGGAAUAUUGGUCAAUGGACGAGAGUCUGAACCAGCCAAGUAGCGUGAAGGAUGACUGCCCUAUGGGUUGUAAACUUCUUUUAUAUGGGAAUAAAAUGUUCCACGUGUGGGAUUUUGUAUGUACCAUAUGAAUAAGGAUCGGCUAACUCCGUGCCAGCAGCCGCGGUAAUACGGAGGAUCCGAGCGUUAUCCGGAUUUAUUGGGUUUAAAGGGAGCGUAGGUGGAUUGUUAAGUCAGUUGUGAAAGUUUGCGGCUCAACCGUAAAAUUGCAGUUGAAACUGGCAGUCUUGAGUACAGUAGAGGUGGGCGGAAUUCGUGGUGUAGCGGUGAAAUGCUUAGAUAUCACGAAGAACUCCGAUUGCGAAGGCAGUUCACUGGACUGCAACUGACACUGAGGCUCGAAAGUGUGGGUAUCAAACAGGAUUAUAUACCCCAGUAGUC